This 433-nucleotide ribosomal RNA is filed under the name uncultured bacterium. RNAcentral describes it as "partial 16S ribosomal RNA". It matches the Rfam family "Bacterial small subunit ribosomal RNA", at positions 29 to 507 of the family's 1533-position model. The record is from RNAcentral.
AACGAACGCUGGCGGCAUGCCUAACACAUGCAAGUCGAACGAUCCCUUCGGGGAUAGUGGCGCACGGGUGCGUAACGCGUGGGAACCUGCCCUUAGGUUCGGAAUAACUCAGAGAAAUUUGAGCUAAUACCGGAUAAUGUCUUCGGACCAAAGAUUUAUCGCCUUUGGAUGGGCCCGCGUUGGAUUAGCUAGUUGGUGGGGUAAAGGCCUACCAAGGCGACGAUCCAUAGCUGGUCUGAGAGGAUGAUCAGCCACACUGGGACUGAGACACGGCCCAGACUCCUACGGGAAGCAGCAGUGGGGAAUAUUGGACAAUGGGCGAAAGCCUGAUCCAGCAAUGCCGCGUGAGUGAUGAAGGCCUUAGGGUUGUAAAGCUGUUUUACCCGGGAUGAUAAUGACAGUACCGGGAGAAUAAGCCCCGGCUAACUCCGUG